This 292-nucleotide ribosomal RNA is filed under the name Bacillus sp. R-45669. Its description in RNAcentral is "partial 16S ribosomal RNA". It matches the Rfam family "Bacterial small subunit ribosomal RNA", at positions 195 to 483 of the family's 1533-position model. Lineage: Bacteria; Bacillati; Bacillota; Bacilli; Caryophanales; Bacillaceae. The record is from RNAcentral.
CAAUCAUAAAAGGUGGCUUUUAGCUACCACUUACAGAUGGACCCGCGGCGCAUUAGCUAGUUGGUGAGGUAACGGCUCACCAAGGCGACGAUGCGUAGCCGACCUGAGAGGGUGAUCGGCCACACUGGGACUGAGACACGGCCCAGACUCCUACGGGAGGCAGCAGUAGGGAAUCUUCCGCAAUGGACGAAAGUCUGACGGAGCAACGCCGCGUGAGUGAUGAAGGUUUUCGGAUCGUAAAACUCUGUUGUUAGGGAAGAACAAGUACCGUUCGAAUAGGGCGGCACCUGAC